ACGCUCGACACCUACGGGAGGCAGCAGUGGGGAAUAUUGCACAAUGGGGGAAACCCUGAUGCAGCAACGCCGCGUGAGUGAAGAAGUAUUUCGGUAUGUAAAGCUCUAUCAGCAGGGAAGAUAAUGACGGUACCUGACUAAGAAGCUCCGGCUAAAUACGUGCCAGCAGCCGGGUAAUCUGAGCGGGCUGGCAAGGC
RNAcentral lists this ribosomal RNA (197 nucleotides) under uncultured bacterium. RNAcentral describes it as "partial 16S ribosomal RNA". It matches the Rfam family "Bacterial small subunit ribosomal RNA", at positions 328 to 539 of the family's 1533-position model. The record is from RNAcentral.